Molecule: ribosomal RNA, 553 nt
Filed under: uncultured bacterium
Lineage: Bacteria
Description: bacterial SSU rRNA
Rfam family: Bacterial small subunit ribosomal RNA
Source: RNAcentral
AAUAGAUACCCGGUAGUCCACGCCGUAAACGAUGGAUGCUAGCUGUUAUGCGUAUCGACCCGUGUAGUAGCGAAGCUAACGCGUUAAGCAUCCCGCCUGGGGAGUACGAACGCAAGUUUAAAACUCAAAGGAAUUGACGGGGACCCGCACAAGCGGUGGAGCGUGUUCUUUAAUUCGAGGCUAAGCGAAGAACCUUACCAGGGCUUGACAUCCUUGGAAUUUCUCCGAAAGGAGAGAGUACUUUAUUGGACCAAGUGACAGGUGCUGCAUGGCCGUCGUCAGCUCGUGUCGUGAGAUGUUUGGUUAAGUCCAUUAACGAGCGCAACCCUUAUGAAUAGUUGUAUUUUUCUAUUCAGACUGCCCCGGUAACGGGGAGGAAGGGGGGAUGAUGUCAGGUCAGUAUUGCCCUUACGCCCUGGGCUAGAAACGCGCUACAAUGGCCGGUACAAUGCGCUGCCAACCCGCGAGGGGGAGCAAAUCGCAUCAAAGCCGGUCCCAGUUCGGAUAAGAGGCUGAAACUCGCCUCUUUGAAGCCGGAAUCGCUAGUAAUCGU